Homo sapiens (human) is the source of this 4413-nucleotide long non-coding RNA. The record is from Ensembl. NCBI's taxonomy places the organism in Eukaryota, Metazoa, Chordata, Mammalia, Primates, Hominidae.
GUACACAAUGUUUAUAAUUCCAGGGAAGUGAAAAGAGCAACUUUCCUCUAUAAUGUAAUUAUGUACUUUCUACAUCUAUGGUAACAAUACCUUAGUUUGAUUAUAGGUAUUUGUUUAGCGAUAGUCAGUUGGCCCUAGGCUAUAGUUCUAGAGGGUUUGGAAAAUCUCCCACAUCAGAGGUGGAAGCAGUGGAAGGAAAACAACAACAAAGGAUCAUGAUAAAGGACUCUGCUGUUACUCAAUGGAGAUACUAAUGCUAUGGAAACCAGCCAUAGGAAAUAAGCCAUUUGGGGAUGGUGUAAAGAGCAGGCUAUAAUGAAACCACUUAUAAUAUGUAAGAUAACAGAAAUCUACAACAUAUUUCUCAAUCAAAAUGAAGACAUUCGGCAUGUACUAGCAGAACCAAUUCAAACUGGAACAAAGAUGGGGCGAGUGGACAUUGCCUUUUCCUCCAAGGGUUGGUUUGACAUCUUAUAAUCACUUUAUAUAACAGCCAUUCUCCCAGUAAAAAGUGAAAAACCAGAGGAAGAGGUCUUGCUUCAUCCAACUCCACUGAUUUUGGCUUUGAGAGAAUACAGCUUUAAGAAGGUAUUCCCGGGAAUAUCCCAGGAACUCUAUCCGCCCCCUCAGAAUAGUAGGCAAUUGAGUUAGUGAUGGUGACUCAGGCAGGCUUUUUCAUCCUGAUCUAAAGGAACCACUACAACCCUAGAGAGAGAAAUAAAAAGGGAAUCGAGUGGAAAAGGCCUCCACCACCGAUGACUCAUGCUCUACUGUGACUCGCCUGGUACAUCACUCUGUGGCUAAGACAUGGAGGCUUGGUUCAUUAGUCACUUCAGUGAUUUUUUCAAAGCAAGGAUUCUCCCUCUAAAUAAUCAUGAGCUCUGCUUCCACAGUGUUUGUAUGUGAGCUUGUGACUCACCUUUCCACCAUGCCAGGCAGUACCAAUUGUGUCAUCUGCAAGAGAGAAAGCAAAACAUUCAUGAUGGCCAAGGAUGCAGGCAACAGAAAAAGAGUGAAGAAAACUCACCCACACUAAAAAGAAGGGAAUCAUGAAACCAUUCACCACUUCUACAGACAGCAGGUUAUUUUCUGUACACUGUAGAAUGUGACUGUGUCAAGAGGGCAUAAAAAGGAACCAGCUGAAAUUACUGGAGAGAACACAGGGAAUACUUUAAUGAACCUGGCUAAAAUUAGUCUUGCCUGAAAUGUAAUACUGGCACAGAGUUCUUCAAACAAUGAAGGAUUUACAGUGAAAAUCUACAUUUCCCAAAAUGCAUUCUCAGAAAAGAAUAUAUGUUAUCAGAAGAAAUAUCCUGCCUACCAAGAUGACUUAAGCUUUCUAACCUCAAGAGCUCACAUAAACUUUUCCAGCCAAAAAAAGUCUUUAAAAGAAUACGAUAAAGUGGUAGGUUGGCAAAGAGUAAGUGUAACUUCACAUUCAUUUCUCUUGUUGGUCUAGUUAGCUGUAAGUAAAACUCAUCCUUAAAGAGAGUUAAGAUGUGAUCUCUAGUAACCAACAUGAAAAGGUGACAUCUGCAUUUUUUAAGGACUCCAUAAUUGUUGACUAAAUACAUAUAAUGAGAGGGGCUAUUUUUAAACUCUGUUUUGAUAUAUUAUUAACCAAGAAAAGUUCAGAAGUCCAAUGGUUUAGUCAAAAUCACCUCACAGUUAAAUACCGAGGCUGUAACGUGAAUUUCUGACUCCUGGAUAUCAUCAAUUCUCUAAGAAACAGAUGCUGUUUUGUAAUAAUAAGGUUUCAAUGCAUGCUAAGCAUAGAAAUUUUGUUGUUUCUAUCUUGAAUAAUACUUCAUAUUAAUUAAAGUAGACAGCAUUCUGAUGAGAAGGGAAUUUUGUUUUCCUAGAAAUAUUCUGAAGAAAUAAAAUGCCAGCCAGAUUUAACAAGGUAAAUUCUGCUAUGUGAACAUCCAAUCCAGAUGUAUUAUGAACAGCUUUGUAUGGUAGUACAGAUGUACAUCAGGCAUAUUAACAGUGGUGGGUAUUUUAUUGUAAAGGAUAGAUUAUACAAAACCCUAACAGUAUUUGAAAACUUUUUUUUUUUUAUUUAGCACAUUUCAUCAGGGACCAUAAUGCUUAGCUAAAGUAUUAUAAAGAGUUCCCCCAGCAUUUUGUGAAGGGAAGCUAUAAUUCAGUUCUCCAAAGUUCUGAGAUCACCAGAAACAGAAUAAGGAAGGAGACUGGUAAUAAAAAUGUCUUUACCCAGGUGUAUGUGUGUCUGUGUGUGUGCGUGCGCAUUUGUAUUAAGGAAAUGAGAUCUGUUAACUAUAAAGCAGCUAAGUGGAGUCCAGAAGGGGUAGCCACUGCCUGUUUGGCUCUCUUAAACAGUCCCUCUUCUAUUUCCAGUUGGAAUAUUGGGGGCAGGGAGAUGGGGGAAUAUCAGGAGCUAUUUUUUCCCUUAUACCAUAUGCAUGUCAUGUAUAUAUUAAAUGUCUGCUUUCUGAAUGGCAAAAAUUAUCUAGAAAAUCAUGAGACAAAACAAAACCCCAUAACAUAAAACCAUACUUACAAAAUUAUAUCAUGGCAUGCUAAACAUUAAAUGUUUCCUUCAUCAAGAGGCCUUUUAUGUAGGGACAUGUUCAAAAUAUAUUCUUUAUAUAUAUGAAUUAAAACUCAAGAAGUUUUAAUAACUUGACAUAAACACUGAUUUCAAUGCCUGGCUAUUAAAGGCCAGAAAUAUUUGCUGAAUGCUCAACGACUAGAGGAUUCAUCAGCAAAGACACAAGUUCUCCCCUGCAAAAGUUAAUUUCUUUCUCAUAGCUCAUGAGCUCCUCCUUUUACAUUCUGACUCUAAAUUCUCUGUCCUUGUCAUAAAAUGUAACAUCUUUUUUUAAUCUGUCAAAUAAUAACAAUGAAAAGCCUGAGAAAACUUAACCUGAAAUCUGCAUGCUUUUAUCAAAUUGAUUAAUGCCUUCAUCUAUAAUGAAAUUAUCUUUCCUUCUAAUCAGAUUAUAAGUCACAAUAAAUUGAAUUUCAAGCCUUCUUUAUAUGAGUAUGUAUAUACAAAUCGUUAAUAUUCUACGCAUUAGUUAAGAGGCUUCGUUAUAUUCAGAUCAAAUUAAAUUUUCUUUAACACCAAAUUUUUAUAGGAUUUUUAGCUAAGUUAUUAGUAGAGUUAUCUGUAAGCAUCAGCUGGUAUCUUGAUAUUUGGUUAUUUAUAUGAAUAUACCAGGCAUUUCUGUGAAUUGUCACUAUCUAUCUGAACUCCAUUUCACAGCUCACAGGCUGUUUCUGGAGUUAACUCAAUGCUAAUAUUAGGCCAUCUGCAGGUGAUAAUUGCUGCACCAGAAAAAUUUUUGUUCCUCUUAACACACUUCUAAAAAAAGGUUACCAUAACUUGCAAGUUCAGUGGUUAAGAAUAUUAGACAAGUAGUAGUAAACAUGAUUUCCAGACCCAUUUUCUUCCCCAUUGGGACUGUUUCCAAAAGUGUAUAGCGAACAAUUUUAAUUCUUUCCUAAGAAGUAGACAAAAGUGGCCGGGCGCGGUGGCUCACGCCUGUAAUCCCAGCACUUUGGGAGGCCGAGGCGGCGGAUCACGAGGUCAGGAGAUCGAGACCAUCCCGGCUAAAACGGUGAAACCUCGUCUCUACUAAAAAUACAAAAAAUUAGCCGGGCGUAGUGGCGGGCGCCUGUAGUCCCAGCUACUUGGGAGGCUGAGGCAGGAGAAUGGCGUGAACCCGGGAGGCAGAGCUUGCAGUGAGCCGAGAUCCCGCCACUGCACUCCAGCCUGGGCGACAGAGCGAGACUCCGUCUCAAAAAAAAAAAAAAAAAAAGAAGUAGACAAAAGUUUCUACAAUUGUGCUUCUACAACAGUGAGAGUGUGAAAUCCUUGUCCUUGCAGGGAAAGUGUUUCCUCUUUAUAUACAUAUAUAUUUUCAGUGACAGUAUCAUUAAUCCUCACCACAAGAAAAUCCUAGAUGCCUAGAAUCUAAAGGGGAUAGUUUAAUAUAUAUGUUAUAUCACACUUAAGGUAUUGUUAUCACUUUAUAUGCAAGCUAGCCAAAAAGUAUACAAAUAUAUGAGGAAAAAUGAAUGUCUUGAUGACAGCUAAAUUUAGAAUUUGAUUCAAUGUCAAGAGUAAAAUAUUUACUAGUAUUUACUGGUAUAGCAAUGUAUAUUCUGGCUGGGAAAUAAAUAAGAGGCUUAUUUCGCUUAUACAAAAUCAAAAUCAGUACUAUUAGAUUAAGAUUAUUUAGAUGAUUAGAUUAUUCAGCAAAAAUGCAUUGGCUGGCCUAGAAAAUCCUUGAAAAUGUUAUAUUAAAAUGUAACCAUCUGCAGUUACGACUAAAAGUGACUUAAUUUCUUCUUAGUGUUUGUAUAUAUUUCUCAUACUUUUGGCAACAAUCUUGCAUUGUUUUUACAAUUAGAAAAGCCUCCACAAUCUUAUUUCUAAAAGAA